AAACAAAAAUAUUCUAAUAAAAAUAAAUAAAAGAUAUCUGCCUUCAAAGUCCUGAAAACACCAUAUACAGUUUAAAUAGUAAAUUAAAUUGCUAUCUAUACCAUCUUACAUCUAUUGCUCUUUUGAAAAUUAUUUCAAAAUUUGUCUUCUCCAUUUAGCAGUAUGGCUCUUAGAGUCAUGUACUCUCUUUUAAAACUGUUUAGAGUAGUGCUUUCAUAAGGCUUAACAUAUUAAUGUGUGGUUUUUAAAAAUUUUCUAUUUGUAUCUUUGUAUAGCAUCUUUGAAGAAAUGGGUACUCAAAGAAAUCCUCAUGUAGAGUCACACUGUGCUGUCAUCUGAGACUUCAAGUUCAUUACUGAAUCCAUGCUUCCUCUUCGCAUCGUGAGAAGAUCAUUACAGAAGCAUAUCACCACACUUAGCUAGUGCUCUCAGCAAGGACCAGGUGCUUCCUGCACAUUGACAACAAGCUGCUUCUUGGAGAAGAAAGAGUGCUCUGGAAAUUUGCAGAUGAAAGGGAAAAGAAAACGUCAUCAUGGUCAGGUAACAUAAUGACAAACUUUGAGGAUUUAUCAGAUUUGGGGACUCAUCAAGAGAAAUGAAUGUGCAUCUGAAUAACCAAGUGGGGAAUAUUAGCUGAAAAUGGUUAAAGACAGAAUUUUCGGGAGGUCUAUUGAGUGUUGAACAAGUGAUGCCUAACAAGCUGAUAAAAGCCUUUGCCUGUUAGUGUAGAAAGUGCACACCUAUAAAAGCCGAUAAUUGCUAAGGCCCUCAUGUUUUAAAUUGUGAAUGGACUUGAAAAUAAAGUGUUGCCUUCAUAGUAGUUUUCUUCUCCC
RNAcentral lists this long non-coding RNA (833 nucleotides) under Mus spicilegus (steppe mouse). Its description in RNAcentral is "lncRNA (ENSMSIG00000021955.1)". Lineage: Eukaryota; Metazoa; Chordata; Mammalia; Rodentia; Muridae. The record is from RNAcentral.